This is a long non-coding RNA of Sorghum bicolor (sorghum), 2192 nucleotides long. RefSeq lists it as uncharacterized. NCBI's taxonomy places the organism in Eukaryota, Viridiplantae, Streptophyta, Magnoliopsida, Poales, Poaceae. The record is from RefSeq and is a predicted model, not a curated record. The transcript has 2 exons.
UCCAUCUCCCUCGCGUACCCUCCAUCUCUCUCUCAAGGAGGACGCGGCCAUAGGGCGACGGCGCCCUCUCAGGCGGCGCGCUGGCACGAGCAGGCCAUGGCGGCCCUCCUCCCUCAUCCCUGACCCGCCCUAGAUCUGCCGCUGCCGGUGCCCAUACUGAAGGUCCUCGCCGCCAUCCGCACCACCUGAACGCCCUCGAUCCGCACCAAGGUUAACUCCAUCAACGCAGUUCAAGGUCGUCCCACCAAGGAAGAGCCGCAACAGCAGGCACAGUGGUAGAGGCGGGUAGUGUUUCGGUAGGUGACGUCGCAACCGGCGGAGGAGCGCCAAGCUGGUGGGGUCAAGUCGCAGCCGGCGGCCAGCGCGCUGCCGCUCGCCGCUCGCUGCUCAGCCGCUCCCGGCUUCCCCCCAUGCUCACAAGCGCCCAGCCCCGGCGGCGGUGGUGCGACGCCCAGCCUUGAGCCGGGACUCCCUAGCCCCGGCGUCCCGUUCGAGCUCCGCGUCCCGGCUGGCCACAGCAGCAUCCUCCUCCUCACCUGCUCCCUCGCCCUUCUGUUCGCCGUCAUCGGCACGAACGCGAGGUGCGAGGACACGCCGCUCCUCCUCGCCUGCUCCAGCGGCGUUCCGUUUUGCCCCGCCAUCUGUGGACGCGAGGAGCAAGAAGUGUGGUGACUGUGUGCAGAUCUGCUCUGGGCGACACAAAGUAAGACUACAGGUAAAUUUCCUCCCUCCAUGCAACCACUAACUUAUGAGUUAGCACAUUUGCAGAAAUCGCUGAGGGUACGGGGCUGAUUGGAGUUGUGAUUUGUAUGGAAGAUGUCAGAGGUUCUGGUAUUAGAGACUGAAGUUUUGCAAGCGCGUGUUGCUGCUUUGGAGUUUUAGCAGCUGUGUUGUGUGGUUGGGAGCCAUGGAGUCACAGAUGGAUCUGUACGAGGUUAUAGAGCAGAAUGGUCAUGGCGCCUUUGGUGCUGCCAUCCUCGUGAACCACAGGACUGAGAAAAAGAAGUUUAAUUGCUGAGUCUGUUUCCCCAUAAAUUUCUUAGCCGAGAGUUGUUUGCUUUGCUAAUGCAGGUAUGUGUUGAAGAAAAUACGUCUGCAAGGUAGACAUAAUGAUGCCACAAGUCUGGUCACCAAGAGGUCAACAGAAUUUUUCGUGUCCCCAUGAAUUUGUGAAUGUCGUGAGCUUGUAUCCCGGCUCUUUGCUCCAUCCUUUUUUGGUUCUGGUCUGAUAACUAAUUUUGACUGCUGGUAGAGACUUAAGAACUAUACGUGAAAACCAAGACAUGUAUAUCUACAUCCAUAAUCCUGUAAGCUUUAUUUUUUCUGAAAUGUAUGACACAAGCUUCAACAUCGGUUUAGUUAAUGUCCAUUCUAUGGGGUAGUAUAAUUCAUUUGUUUGGAUGCAACAAAUUCAGUUUAGUUUUCCAUAAGUAGCGUUCACUGCAAUAUGUACUAAACUUGAGACAAUCUUGCAAUAUACUUGCUUGACAAAAUUCAAAGUCAACUCGAAUGUACCCUACUAUGAUUUUUAUGAAUAUUUGCCUACGAUGGUUUAGAUCACAUGAUGCAUUUUUUUUGAAGGGAUAAGGUAGGUAUUUUUUUGGCAAUAGCUUUCUUUGUUCAUUGUUCCAUUCAUCUAUUAGAUCAAUACUCUUCCUCAAUCUACUAUAUCAGUGCUCUUGCCCAAUCUACUAGAUGGUUCUGGAUGCUUCAUCUCAGGUUGGGAUGCGAUUUGUUGUUUUUUCUGUCUCUCUUAAAUUGUUGCUUCGUUUCCUACAAGUAAGCAUCUGCUGCCUUUUUCUGUAACUUUUUGCAACUAUUGAAUUGUUGCUUCUGUUUCAAAUUGCAGCUUUAGAGCUACACAUUGGAUUGGAUAGAGGAGCAGAACUGCGGGUGGACGGGUGAAAAACCAGGAAGCUGCCAAGAAGACUGCCCACUGGACUGCCAAUGAUCCCUCAGUUCUCAUGUCACCGAGUGGACUGUUCAGUUCAUGUACCCUUCGUUCUCUGCCUUGCUCCCUUGAUGGAGUCUGCACAUUUAGCCAUGGUGAUGUACUGCUUGAGCUGCUCUGUACUAGCAACAUUUUUCUUUUCAAAGUUGUGUUGAUGGAUCAUGUAUUUGAGGCAAUAGGAACUAGCUAGAUUUUUUACUGGCAUUGUUUAGAUGCAAUUUUUUUUGAAAUUUUGACACUA